UCUCAAUCUGGGAAUAUUUAAUGGUACCGUGCAGCUCACAGACCUGCAGUUAAAGGCCGAGGCACUGUAUGAACUGGAGCUGCCCAUUGAAGUGAAGGCCGGUUGCAUCGGCAAGCUCUCAGUGGACAUUCCCUGGCUGAGCCUGUAUGCAGAGCCUGUGCUUGUCCAUGUGGAGGAUGUGUUAAUCUUGGCUGCCCCCAUUUGUGAUGAGCCGUACGAUGCGGACAAGGAGCGUCUCCUGGCGAGGGCACUCAAGUCUCACCGACUGGAGCUUCUGGAGACCAAUCUG
Molecule: long non-coding RNA, 289 nt
Organism: Rhipicephalus microplus (southern cattle tick)
Lineage: Eukaryota; Metazoa; Arthropoda; Arachnida; Ixodida; Ixodidae
Source: RefSeq, a predicted model, not a curated record